UGCCAUUCGUUGAUCGCCGCCCAGAAAGUUUGCUGGUUGAUCUCUGGUCGGAGCGCUUCCCAGACCCGUUCCGAGUGCUAGAGCAGAUCCCAUUUGAACUUGACAAAGAAGACGGCGUGGCACUCUCUCCAGCAAGGGUGGACUGGAAAGAAACGCCAGAGGGUCAUGUUAUAAUGUUAGAUGUGCCGGGAUUAAAGAAGGAAGAGCUGAAAAUCGAGGUGGAGGCGAACCGAGUUCUGAGAGUGAGUGGAGAGAGGAAGAGGGAAGAAGAGAAGAAAGGGGAUCAUUGGCACCGAGUUGAGAGGUCUUACGGAAAAUUUUGGAGGCAGUUCAGGCUGCCAGAGAACGUGGAUUUGGACUCUGUCAACGCCAAGUUGGAGAAUGGGGUUCUCACUUUGACACUGGCCAAGUUAUCCCCUGAUAAGAUCAAAGGUCCUAAGGUGAUUAGCAUCGCUAGCACUGGAGGACAUGAGGACGAAC
RNAcentral lists this long non-coding RNA (480 nucleotides) under Prunus persica (peach). RNAcentral describes it as "long non-coding RNA (PPER_LNC007540)". Lineage: Eukaryota; Viridiplantae; Streptophyta; Magnoliopsida; Rosales; Rosaceae. The record is from RNAcentral.